GGUUCGGGAGCCACCCUUCGGGACGGGCGGCACGAAUGGAACCCACGCGGCCCUUCGCAGGCGGCACGACCCCAUGGCCCGAUUGGGGGACGUG
Molecule: non-coding RNA, 94 nt
Filed under: unclassified sequences
Description: Rhodo-rpoB RNA
Rfam family: Rhodo-rpoB RNA
Source: RNAcentral